RNAcentral lists this long non-coding RNA (565 nucleotides) under Nicotiana benthamiana. RNAcentral describes it as "long non-coding RNA (NBEN_LNC017255)". Lineage: Eukaryota; Viridiplantae; Streptophyta; Magnoliopsida; Solanales; Solanaceae. The record is from RNAcentral.
UAUAUUAUCUUCUCUCUUUCUUCUAGAUAUCAGCAAUUCUCCGAUGCAUGUUAUUUUCCUUUUCUCUGAAACCCCUUAUGUAUUUCCAGCCUUAUCUCUUUAGUUUCUUCUACAUAUUCAAACAUCUUCUUCUCCGUUUUAUUAGAUCCAACAGUCACCACCUCAAAAAAUUCACAAAACCAAUAUCGAAAUACCAAACUUUUUGCUAAAAAGGUAUUACUCAUACAAUUUCUUAAUAUAUUCUCGUCAAAAUUAAGAAAUUAUUAUUAGUUUGGGGAAUUAUUAUUUUUGGGUAGUUUAGGUUUUGAAGGGUGAGAAUGAAAGUGACCCAGAAAGAAAAAAAAGGCUUAGUCUUAAUUUUAAUAAAUCUAAAUCCUUGAAUUAUUUCCUUGUUUGCUACUUCUUGAGUUACUUGUAAUUGUUUCUUACAAAAUUAUUCUUCCAUUUCCCUUAUAUCCUUCUUCAAAAAGAAAUUAGAUCAGAUUAUCUAAGAAGUUGACCUCUGGCUAGUUUCAAUUCUGCUCCACUUUUUCUUGAUUGUUCUUUCCCUAGCUCUUGCUCUUGC